RNAcentral lists this ribosomal RNA (301 nucleotides) under uncultured bacterium. RNAcentral's name for it is "partial 16S ribosomal RNA". It matches the Rfam family "Bacterial small subunit ribosomal RNA", at positions 509 to 807 of the family's 1533-position model. The record is from RNAcentral.
CAGUCGCCACGGUAAUACGAAGGGUGCAAGCGUUACUCGGAAUUACUGGGCGUAAAGCGUGCGUAGGUGGUGGUUUAAGUCCGUUGUGAAAGCCCUGGGCUCAACCUGGGAAUUGCAGUGGAUACUGGGUCACUAGAGUGUGGUAGAGGAUAGUGGAAUUUCCGGUGUAGCAGUGAAAUGCGUAGAGAUCGGAAGGAACAUCUGUGGCGAAGGCGACUAUCUGGGCCAACACUGACACUGAGGCACGAAAGCGUGGGGAGCAAACAGGAUUAGAUACCCCUGUAGUCCCUGUAUCUUAUAC